AAAUUGAUGGGGUCAGGGAAUGAUAUGUGUAAAAAAUUAUUUUACCCCAUACAGAUUGGUAUGGUUGUGCCACAGAUUUAGAUUAUUAAAUGUUAAGUCUUAUUUUACUCUUAUUAUAUUUAUCUUUUUUUGCAGCUACAGCAAUUGAUGUUGAAAAACUGAUGCUACCAAUCACUCCUUAUUUGAUUAUUCAAGUAGUUCCUAUAUUUAAAAAAAAUAGAAAAAAAUAUGUUAAAACAACCACGGCUAGGCUAACCCUAACCCUAACAAUUGAAUACAAUUAUGAUUGUGAUGGAACUGGAAUGCGACACCAGUUACUCUUAAGUCAAGAACUGAAUAAAGCACAGAUUAUGGAGGGAUCUGCUGCUAAACUAACUGGAGGGAAGGAACCUUUAGUGUGGGUGAACAUACUACCUUGAUGUCCAACAAAGGCUGCACAAGAGCUCAUUUGAUAGCACAUAUUCUGUUUUGUCUACAUCUUUGACAACCUGGAAGUGCUUUGACAUCAGAUUAUCAGAAGUGCUCCUGCCCUUUUUCACUUCCAGUUUCCACAUCAUCAUUUGGACUCCAUUUUGUCUUGUAGCAGUAUUUUCACCUGUUUUUAAAAUUUUAAGAAUUUUUGAUGCAUUAAUUGUUGACUGGUUUUAAUUAUCAAUUGUUCAUUAGUGUUCUGUUGCUCUGUUAUAUUGAAUUAUUGCUACUGUUUUAGCAUGGUUUACAAAAUAAACUUUCAUUGUGAAGUUAAA
Danio rerio (zebrafish) is the source of this 746-nucleotide non-coding RNA. NCBI's taxonomy places the organism in Eukaryota, Metazoa, Chordata, Actinopteri, Cypriniformes, Danionidae. The record is from Ensembl.